GAUGAACGCUGGCGGCGUGCCUAAUACAUGCAAGUCGAGCGAACGGACGAGAAGCUUGCUUCUCUGAUGUUAGCGGCGGACGGGUGAGUAACACGUGGAUAACCUACCUAUAAGACUGGGAUAACUUCGGGAAACCGGAGCUAAUACCGGAUAAUAUUUUGAACCGCAUGAUUCAAAAGUGAAAGACGGUCUUGCUGUCACUUAUAGAUGGAUCCGCGCUGCAUUAGCUAGUUGGUAAGGUAACGGCUUACCAAGGCAACGAUGCAUAGCCGACCUGAGAGGGUGAUCGGCCACACUGGAACUGGGACACGGUCCAGACUCCUACGGGAGGCAGAAGUAGGGAAUCUUCCGCAAGGGGCGAAAGCCUGACGGAGCAACGCCGGGUGAGUGAUGAAGGUCUUCGGAUCGUAAAACUCUGUUAUUAGGGAAGAACAUAUGUGGAAGUAACUGUGCACAUUUUGACGGUACCUAAUCAGAAAGCCACGGCUAACUACGU
Molecule: ribosomal RNA, 496 nt
Filed under: uncultured bacterium
Lineage: Bacteria
Description: partial 16S ribosomal RNA
Rfam family: Bacterial small subunit ribosomal RNA
Source: RNAcentral